This 497-nucleotide ribosomal RNA is filed under the name uncultured bacterium. RNAcentral describes it as "partial 16S ribosomal RNA". It matches the Rfam family "Bacterial small subunit ribosomal RNA", at positions 28 to 507 of the family's 1533-position model. The record is from RNAcentral.
GAUGAACGCUGGCGGCGUGCCUAACACAUGCAAGUCGAGCGGACAGGCGAGGCGUUUGCUCCGCUUACGUGAGCGGCGGGCGGGUGAGUCACACGAGUAUAACUUACCUAUAAGACUGGCAUAACGUCGCGAAACCGGAUCUCAUACCGGAUAAUAUAUUGAACCGCAUGGUUCAAUAGUCAUAGCCGGAUUUGCUGUCACUUGUAGAGGGUUCCGCGCCGGAUUAGCUAGUUGGUACGGUAACGGCUUGCCAAGGCAACGAUGCGUAGCCGACCUGAGAGGACGAUCGGCCACACUGGAACUGAGACACGGUCCAGACUCCUACGGGAGGCAGCAGUAGGGAAUCUUCGACAAUGGGCGAAAGCCUGACGGAGCAAUGCCGCGUGUGUGAUGAAGGUCUUCGGAUCGUAAAGCUCUGUUAUUAGGGAAGAACAAAUGUGUAAGUAACCAUGGCCGUCUUGACGGUACCUACUGAGAAAGCACCGGCUAACUACGUG